This 467-nucleotide ribosomal RNA is filed under the name uncultured bacterium. RNAcentral describes it as "partial 16S ribosomal RNA". It matches the Rfam family "Bacterial small subunit ribosomal RNA", at positions 28 to 506 of the family's 1533-position model. The record is from RNAcentral.
GACGAACGCUGGCGGCGUGCUUAACACAUGCAAGUCGAACGGAAAGGCCCUGCUUUUGUGGGGUGCUCGAGUGGCGAACGGGUGAGUAACACGUGAGUAACCUGCCCUUGACUUUGGGAUAACUUCAGGAAACUGGGGCUAAUACCGGAUAGGAGCUCCUGCUGCAUGGUGGGGGUUGGAAAGUUUCGGCGGUUGGGGAUGGACUCGCGGCUUAUCAGCUUGUUGGUGGGGUAGUGGCUUACCAAGGCUUUGACGGGUAGCCGGCCUGAGAGGGUGACCGGCCACAUUGGGACUGCGAUACGGCCCAGACUCCUACGGGAGGCAGCAGUGGGGAAUAUUGCACAAUGGGCGGAAGCCUGAUGCAGCAACGCCGCGUGCGGGAUGACGGCCUUCGGGUUGUAAACCGCUUUCGCCUGUGACGAAGCGUGAGUGACGGUAAUGGGUAAAGAAGCACCGGCUAACUACGU